AUUGAACGCUGGCGGCAGGCCUAACACAUGCAAGUCGCGCGGCAGCGGGAAAGUAGCUUGCUACUUUUGCCGGCGAGCGGCGGACGGGUGAGUAAUGCCUGGGAAAUUGCCCAGUCGAGGGGGAUAACAGUUGGAAACGACUGCUAAUACCGCAUACGCCCUACGGGGGAAAGCAGGGGACCUUCGGGCCUUGCGCGAUUGGAUAUGCCCAGGUGGGAUUAGCUAGUUGGUGAGGUAAUGGCUCACCAAGGCGACGAUCCCUAGCUGGUCUGAGAGGAUGAUCAGCCACACUGGAACUGAGACACGGGCCAGACUCCUACGGGAGGCAGCAGUGGGGAAUAUUGCACAAUGGGGGAAACCCUGAUGCAGCCAUGCCGCGUGUGUGAAGAAGGCCUUCGGGUUGUAAAGCACUUUCAGCGAGGAGGAAAAGUUGAUGCCUAAUACGUAUCAACUGUGACGUUACUCGCAGAAGAAGCACCGGCUAACUCCGUGCCAGCCGCCGCCGUAA
This 508-nucleotide ribosomal RNA is filed under the name uncultured bacterium. RNAcentral's name for it is "partial 16S ribosomal RNA". It matches the Rfam family "Bacterial small subunit ribosomal RNA", at positions 30 to 523 of the family's 1533-position model. The record is from RNAcentral.